UGUGACUCCAGGCUUGUCUCCUAAACUGGCUCUCUUUCUCGAUUUUUUUUUUUUUCACUGGAGUGAUGGAAAAUUUGAAUUCUCAUUCGUCUCGAUAGGAGUUUCUGUUUUCAUGUUUUGAUUUUAAUUUUUGACUUGGGAUGUAGGAAAUUCCUAGUGUCUGUAGCUUUGUAAUUGAUCAGUAUGCUUCAGAAAAUUUUCCAAUUACCAUUUCAAGGAAAGUUGGUGCUGGAAGUAUCCUUUCCAUUAUAGGGGAAGCUUGAUGGAAGGAUGUUAAAAUUCUUUAUCCAAUGACAAAAGCAAUAAAAGAAAUGCAAAUAAUGACAUAACCAUUAGCAUACUAUAUAAUAACUUAAAAGGGUUUGAGAGAUAAUUAACUAAGCGUUGUUAUAUUAAUCUUCAGUACCAGCUACCACCUUUCCAGUUUUAUUUUCUGCAAUCACACAGUACGCUGAACAUUAAUACUGAUUUAUCAAUAAUAUUUCUUUGGUUUACGUUGCUUUGUGAAUGCAUAUAUCUCCCCGAAGGUCCCGACGAGCUUCAUUGAGUGAUUAAUUUUUCAGACAACUAUACCCUGCACAAUGGUGACACCAACCUUAGCAUGAAUAGUAUUUAUGCAUAUGUGACACCAACCUUAGCAUGAAUAGUAUUUAUGCAUAUGCAUUUGACAAGGUUAGCAAUAAAUGAAAGUUAGAAGCUACAAUUAGCGACUCAUUGUGCAUUUUUUUCAGUGUUAGGCUUGUUCUCCACCACCA
This 755-nucleotide long non-coding RNA is filed under the name Ananas comosus (pineapple). RNAcentral's name for it is "long non-coding RNA (ACOM_LNC004812)". Lineage: Eukaryota; Viridiplantae; Streptophyta; Magnoliopsida; Poales; Bromeliaceae. The record is from RNAcentral.